This is a non-coding RNA of Podarcis lilfordi (Lilford's wall lizard), 78 nucleotides long. Lineage: Eukaryota; Metazoa; Chordata; Lepidosauria; Squamata; Lacertidae. The record is from the annotation of a GenBank genome assembly.
GGUCUGACUAGCUCAGUUGCUUAGAGCAUGGUGCUGAUAACGCCAAGGCCUAAGGUUCGAUUCCUGCAUAUUGGAUUA